AUUGAACGCUGGCGGCAGGCUUAACACAUGCAAGUCGAGCGGAGUGAUGGUGCUUGCACCCUCACUUAGCGGCGAACGGGUGAGUAAUGCCUAGGAAUCUGCCCAUUAUCGGGGGACAACGUGUGGAAACGCACGCUAAUACCGCAUACGCCCUACGGGGGAAAGCAGGGGACUCUUUGAGCCUUGCACUAAUGGAUGAGCCUAGGUCAGAUUAGCUAGUUGGUGGGGUAAAGGGCUACCAAGGCGACGACCGGUAGCGGGACUGAGAGGAUGAUCCGCCACACUGGGACGGAGACACGGUCCAGACUCCUACGGGAGGGAGCAGGGGGGAAUAUUGGACAAUGGGGGGAAGGCUGGUCCAGCCAAGCCGGGUGUGGGAAGAAGGCCUUUUGGUUGUAAAGCACUUGAAGCGAGGAGGAGGCUUAUCUGGUAAAUACCUGGGAUGAGUGGACGGUACUCGCAGAAUAAGCACCGGCUAACUACGUG
Molecule: ribosomal RNA, 486 nt
Filed under: uncultured bacterium
Lineage: Bacteria
Description: partial 16S ribosomal RNA
Rfam family: Bacterial small subunit ribosomal RNA
Source: RNAcentral